AGAGUUUGAUCCUGGCUCAGGACGAACGCUGGCGGCGUGCUUUAUACAUGCAAGUCGAACGAUGAAGUUCCUUCGGGAAUGGAUUAGUGGCGAACGGGUGAGGAACACGUGAGAAACCUGCCUUUCAUUCUGGGAUAACACCGGGAAACCGGUGCUAAUACCGGAUACUCCAUCUUGGCGGCAUCGCCGAGCUGGGAAAAAAUUUUGAUGAAAGAUGGUCUCGCGGCCUAUCAGCUAGUUGGUGAGGUAAAGGCUCACCAAGGCGACGACGGGUAGCCGGCCUGAGAGGGCGACCGGCCACACUGGGACUGAGACACGGCCCAGACUCCUACGGGAGGCAGCAGUAGGGAAUAUUGGGCAAUGGGCGAAAGCCUGACCCAGCGACGCCGCGUGAGGGAUGAAGGUCUUCGGAUUGUAAACCUCUUUCAGUAGGGAAGAAGCGAAAGUGACGGUACCUAAAGAAGAAGCACCGGCUAACUAUGUGCCAGCAGCCGCGGUAAUACAUAGGGUGCAAGCGUUGUCCGGAAUUAUUGGGCGUAAAGAGCUCGUAGGUCGUUUGUCGCGUCGAUUGUGAAAAUCUGAGGCUCAACCUCAGACCUGCAGUCGAUACGGGCAAACUAGAGUGUGGUAGGGGAGACUGGAAUUCCUGGUGUAGCGGUGGAAUGCGCAGAUAUCAGGAGGAACACCAAUGGCGANNNCAGGUCUCUGGGCCAUAACUGACACUGNNNAGCGAAAGUGCGGGGAGCGAACAGGAUUAGAUACCCUGGUAGUCCGCACCGUAAACGGUGGGCACUA
This 795-nucleotide ribosomal RNA is filed under the name uncultured bacterium. RNAcentral describes it as "bacterial SSU rRNA". It matches the Rfam family "Bacterial small subunit ribosomal RNA", at positions 8 to 818 of the family's 1533-position model. The record is from RNAcentral.